This is a long non-coding RNA of Xenopus tropicalis (tropical clawed frog), 1463 nucleotides long. RefSeq lists it as uncharacterized. NCBI's taxonomy places the organism in Eukaryota, Metazoa, Chordata, Amphibia, Anura, Pipidae. The record is from RefSeq and is a predicted model, not a curated record. The transcript is spliced from 2 exons.
AGCCUCUCACAAUGCCGACUGGAAUAACAACUGGCAGGUUACAAUACAACACAAACACAACACAAACCGGCUGCUGCACUAGUAAUAAGGGGCUAUUCUCAUCUGCGUGCUAAAAUAACAGCUCUUGGCCUUAGGGUGCACGGCCCCUAAAUAAUGGGGCAGAUUUGCCCUGCUCCCCAGAAGCACUAACCAUCCAAGGCUACUUUACAUGGUCGGAAGGAAUGCCAGCAGCCUCUCCUGACUGAAGCUGAUCUACUGUAAUAAUCAGGCUAAUCUUAAACACAUGGAAGAGAAAGAAAAGUAUCCUUUGACCUAAUGCCAGAAAUAUUUCAAACCAGCCGCAGCCUCCAUUUCCACUGUAGUUAUAUCCCAAUUCAGCACCAGGUCUAAUGAGAUCCGCUCGGGCCACUAAACCAUUUGGGUGACCCCAAAACAGGUCAGAGCUGGUCUUAAGUCCACAACAAAGCACAAUGCUCAGAGAGAGAGAAUGAAUACCCAUUACCUUUCUUUCCAUCGUUUUAAGUAGGUAAUUAAGGUUGAUUAUGGGAUUAUAACACUAAUGUGAAUGCCCAAAGGAAUACGAUCCACUGCACACCUAAUCCACCCUACUGCACAAGCCAAUACUGGGCUGGAGGGGGCAACGGCCCUGAAAUUGGUUUUUCUUUUAAUGCCUUGCCUAUAAUUAAAGUCAAAUUGUCAAGCCUGAAAGAUUAACCAGUGAAAGCGGUACCAGCUGCAGGACUGCUGAGUCAAAUACAGUUGGAUUUUUAAUAUCGGCCACAAAACGCUUGCGGGUAUGAACCAAUGGGCUGAGACUACACUGGCGACUAAGUAGGACUGUCAGUUUUAAAAAGUAAAAAAAAAAAGCACACAUCACAUGAUAUUACAGAUAAUGGGCAUGUUUCUUAAUUUUCUAUUAAAUAAAGUAAGAAUUGGACCCGGGAGAACAUGUCCUGCCCAAUGGGAUACGUUUGUUACCCCUAGGUCCUUCUUUAUUGCUGGGUCAAUACAAAUGAUACGGAGUAUGCUUGUCUACCUAGACUGCCUAAGCUGUGGUCCUUCAUAUAUUAUAUAACUCCCAGCAUUAGGGUUGCUGGUAAAAAUGAUCCCUGAUGCUAAUGUUAUUGAUAGGGAAAAGGUUAAAAACAUAGGAAAGCCAGUAUUUUUCUCCAGAAAAGGUGAAAACCGUACUCAGCACCCUCACAGAAUCCACACACCUACCAUAGGUGCUGCUGUGCUGCCUGCACACUCAAAAGGCAUAUUUCUGAUGCGUCAUUAAACUUUUCCUUACCCUUUCUACCUACGGCGGCUUCUCUGUGACGGCCUGGGAAACAGCCCCUCAGUUGGACCCCCUAAACCCAGCAGCGUUUGCCCCUAUGGAACGUGCCAACAUCUACACUGUAAGCUCUCCCUUUCCAAACUGCUUUCAACUUACUCUUACCUUUAAUACCCUGUACAGUUUU